UGCCAGCACCGCGGUAAUACGAAGGGACCUAGCGUAGUUCGGAAUUACUGGGCUUAAAGCGUGCGUAGGCGGACUAUUAAGUCUGAUGUGAAAUCCCUCGGCUCAACCGAGGACCUGCAUUGGAUACUGGUAGUCUUGAGUCCCGGAGAGGAUAGCGGAAUUCCUAGUGUAGGGGUGAAAUUCGUAGAUAUUAGGAGGAACACCAGUGGCGAAAGCGGCUAUCUGGACGGUGACUGACGCUGAGGCACGAAAGCAUAGGUAGCAAACAGGAUUAGAUA
Molecule: ribosomal RNA, 278 nt
Filed under: uncultured bacterium
Lineage: Bacteria
Description: partial 16S ribosomal RNA
Rfam family: Bacterial small subunit ribosomal RNA
Source: RNAcentral